UGAAAUUCCAUGAUGGGAAAAAGUAAGCUAUGCGCUUGAUCCGCAGAGAGUCGGCAUUUGCUGCGAGCCGACGUUCGGGACGUAGCCGAAAAUCAUCCCGGAGAAGUAAAGCUGAAACUCAAGCGACCAGUAAGCUUUACCGGAGGUCCGCCGUUAUACGGAACGCGUAUGGCGCACGUACGUUGAUGAGGUGCUGUUUUGCCGGUUGUAAGAGCAAGACAGAACAAGGGUGGUAACGCGAGUCGAAUCUCGUCCCUUAU
This 260-nucleotide non-coding RNA is filed under the name Paenibacillus sp. CECT 9249. RNAcentral's name for it is "T-box". It matches the Rfam family "T-box leader". From Rfam's summary of the family: Uncharged tRNA acts as the effector for transcription antitermination of genes in the T-box leader family. T-boxes are found upstream of many aminoacyl-tRNA synthetase genes and some amino acid biosynthetic genes usually in Gram-positive bacteria. The anticodon of a specific tRNA base pairs to a specifier sequence within the T-box motif, and the NCCA acceptor tail of the tRNA base pairs to a conserved bulge in the T-box antiterminator hairpin. The record is from RNAcentral. Lineage: Bacteria; Bacillati; Bacillota; Bacilli; Caryophanales; Paenibacillaceae.